CUUGUACUCCCUCCGUGCGGAAAUACUUGUCAUUGAAAUGAAUGUAUCUAGAUGUAUUUUAGUUCUAGACACAUCCAUUUUGAUGACAAGUAAUUCCUUACGGAGGGAGUACUUG
Non-coding RNA from Triticum aestivum (bread wheat), 115 nucleotides. The record is from Rfam. NCBI's taxonomy places the organism in Eukaryota, Viridiplantae, Streptophyta, Magnoliopsida, Poales, Poaceae.